This is a non-coding RNA of Nicotiana tabacum (common tobacco), 652 nucleotides long. The record is from RefSeq and is a predicted model, not a curated record. Lineage: Eukaryota; Viridiplantae; Streptophyta; Magnoliopsida; Solanales; Solanaceae.
UUGUUUUGUCUAGAGUAUUACUGUGUAAUAGAUGAUAGCUUGAAUUCUUCAAUUGUCCAUUAUUUGCUCUAGUUUCUCACAAUAUAAGGACUAAUUUCAAUGAUGUCACUUUAUUGAUAAAUAGAUUAAGGGGAGUGACCAAAUUAAUAUGCAUAAUGUAAAGCUUGUUGUGUUUCUCGAAGUUCAGAUUGUUGCCUAUGUUAUGACAGAAUGUGCAGAGGAGGAUAUGUGUUUGGUAUGAUGGUUUGACUGGAGCUUCGAGCUGUUAUUGGGAGUGGAUGACACAUGGGUGACAGGAGGUGUAUGGGAGGAGACGAAAGGAGGGGAAAAAGGACCAAAUGAAAUUGAAAAAUGAAGGACAUAGAUGAAAGGAGAGAAGAGUUUCUUGGACGGAUUGUUAAGAGAAUUGGCUCAGAGUUAUCCAGACUUACAAAGUUAUCCAGACUUACAGGUAUAGACAAUCAGUUUGACGAGCCCUCAUAGUACAUGAGGUCAGCAUUCAGCUAAGGAUCGGUAAGACUCCACCUUAUUCAGAGUGCAGCCGAGUCUAUGUGUCUUCUUGUCAGAAUUUUGCUACAAACUUAUGGGUAGGCCGGUACCCUGUCCCAUUUGAUGUCAAAUAAUCUUAGAGGCUUUGUAGAUAGAGGUUCAU